AAUAAUAAAAUUCAUAAAAUGCCCAAACUUCAAACUUUAAAAUCUUUUUCAUUAUAACUCCAAAUCACGAACCGUCUGCACCCACGCUUCCGUAGUGACGAGUACUACGAGGAUAUGUCAGGAAAACAAAUCUUAGAUGGCAUGACACAACGAUUAACCUCGAAUAAUGCGCGUGCCUAAAAGGGCAUUUUUGUAAAAGCCUUUAUUAAAACUUUAAAAACUCUAAAAUCAGGGAUGGGCUGUCACAUAUAUUUUCUGAUAAUGUUCAAGAAAUUUAAGUUUGACAUUACACUAUGUUUGGAUGAGGCAAAUAAACUUGGAAUUUGGGUAAAAGUCAGAAUUUAUAAAUUGACAUGCUCUAAUUCCCUUGUUUGGAUUCAUACACAUAGAAAUUUAGAAUUUUUGUGUGGAAAAAAAAACUUGAAAUUUGGGACCUCCAAUUCCCAAGUUUAAAUUCCUUGUAAAUAUGUGUCAUUUCCCAAUUUCUAGAAUUGAGAGUUUAAAAAUAACAAAUUCCGUAUUCAGUUCCAUUGUUCUAUUAGGUUAACCAAACAAGAAAAUAAAAAAAAUUUAGAAAAUAAAAUCUUGUCAUUUCAAUUUCCGUCAUUUUAAAAUUCCUUAGUAAACUUAAAUUUCUUCAUCCAAAGAUAGUGUUAGUUCGUUGCAUUAUCUUUGUUUUAACCAUAUUUGUUUUUAUGAUCAUGACUUGGAAAACUUAUAUGCACGGAGCCUUGUUGAUUUAACACUUCAUAUGUAAAUUAGUUAGCUUAUGUAAACCUUGUGAGCUUUUAGCCUAUUUAUGAUUGAACCAUGACGCAUCAAUCUCAUUUUUCUUGUGGGCAUGAUCUCAUUUUACAUGUAUCUCUAGAACUUGCUUUAUACCUCUCAUUACAUUCAUCAAUGCAUGUAAAAUAAUAGAAAUGACAUAGGCAAUUUUAUUUUAUUUUUUUCCGUUUGAGCCUUUCUAGCCAGCGCUUAUUAUUAUUUUCCCUAGUUAGCCUUGUUAAGCCUUUAUGUGAGUCUUUUUUUUUUCUUUAACCUAAAUAAUUCCUACCUAGCGUUGUGAAAAUUUUCCUACCCGUCUAAAGAGCUUGUAGAGUAAUUCUUCGAGAAAAGAGAGUUCAAAGGGUUGUGGGCUAAAUAUUGUAAUAGAAGGAAAAAAAAAAGAUGUUGUUAGGUGCAAAAGAAAGUAGUGCCGUGGAAAAUAAAUGUUUGAGAAAAAAAAAAUAAUAGCAUGCGGCAAGAAGAAAAGUAAAAAAAAAGUGUAAAGUUGUGCUUAAGUUCUAAUUGCUUUCAAGUUAUUUGAAUUUCUCUCUAAGAGGAAAAAUUUGGAGUGUUCUACAAGUUUCUUAGAUCUUUGUUUCUCCAUACCCUCUUAAUUGUUUAGCCAAUUAACCCUGUACCCUAGACUUGGCAUUCGUGUA
RNAcentral lists this long non-coding RNA (1424 nucleotides) under Malus domestica (apple). RNAcentral describes it as "long non-coding RNA (MDOM_LNC000093)". Lineage: Eukaryota; Viridiplantae; Streptophyta; Magnoliopsida; Rosales; Rosaceae. The record is from RNAcentral.